GGCUUCACAGCUCAGUUGGUUAGAGCGUCACACUGGUUUCACGAGGUCAAGGGUUCAAACCCCGUUGAAGUCC
This 73-nucleotide transfer RNA is filed under the name Acropora cervicornis. Its description in RNAcentral is "tRNA-OTHER". It matches the Rfam family "tRNA". Rfam says of the family: Transfer RNA (tRNA) molecules are approximately 80 nucleotides in length. Their secondary structure includes four short double-helical elements and three loops (D, anti-codon, and T loops). Further hydrogen bonds mediate the characteristic L-shaped molecular structure. tRNAs have two regions of fundamental functional importance: the anti-codon, which is responsible for specific mRNA codon recognition, and the 3' end, to which the tRNAs corresponding amino acid is attached (by aminoacyl-tRNA synthetases). tRNAs cope with the degeneracy of the genetic code in two manners: having more than one tRNA (with a specific anti-codon) for a particular amino acid; and 'wobble' base-pairing, i.e. permitting non-standard base-pairing at the 3rd anti-codon position. Lineage: Eukaryota; Metazoa; Cnidaria; Anthozoa; Scleractinia; Acroporidae. The record is from RNAcentral.